AGGGUUUGAUCAUGGCUCAGAUUGAACGCUGGUGGUAUGCUUAACACAUGCAAGUCGAACGGUAACAUUGGAGCUUGCUCCAGAUGACGAGUGGCGGACGGGUGAGUAACGCGUAGGAAUCUGCCUAGUAGUGGGGGACAACAUGUGGAAACGCAUGCUAAUACCGCAUACGCCCUACGGGGGAAAGCGAGGGAUCUUCGGACCUCGCGCUAUUAGAUGAGCCUGCGUUAGAUUAGCUAGUUGGUGGGGUAAUGGCCUACCAAGGCGACGAUCUAUAGCUGGUCUGAGAGGACGAUCAGCCACACUGGGACUGAGACACGGCCCAGACUCCUACGGGAGGCAGCAGUGGGGAAUAUUGGACAAUGGGCGAAAGCCUGAUCCAGCAAUACCACGUGUGUGAAGAAGGCCUGAGGGUUGUAAAGCACUUUCAAUUGGGAGGAAAACAGCUGGGUUAAUAGCCCUGCUCUUGACAUUACCUUUAGAAGAAG
This 488-nucleotide ribosomal RNA is filed under the name uncultured bacterium. RNAcentral's name for it is "bacterial SSU rRNA". It matches the Rfam family "Bacterial small subunit ribosomal RNA", at positions 8 to 490 of the family's 1533-position model. The record is from RNAcentral.